RNAcentral lists this ribosomal RNA (590 nucleotides) under Microbacterium aurantiacum. RNAcentral's name for it is "partial 16S ribosomal RNA". It matches the Rfam family "Bacterial small subunit ribosomal RNA", at positions 724 to 1312 of the family's 1533-position model. Lineage: Bacteria; Bacillati; Actinomycetota; Actinomycetes; Micrococcales; Microbacteriaceae. The record is from RNAcentral.
GAUCUCUGGGCCGUAACUGACGCUGAGGAGCGAAAGGGUGGGGAGCAAACAGGCUUAGAUACCCUGGUAGUCCACCCCGUAAACGUUGGGAACUAGUUGUGGGGUCCAUUCCACGGAUUCCGUGACGCAGCUAACGCAUUAAGUUCCCCGCCUGGGGAGUACGGCCGCAAGGCUAAAACUCAAAGGAAUUGACGGGGACCCGCACAAGCGGCGGAGCAUGCGGAUUAAUUCGAUGCAACGCGAAGAACCUUACCAAGGCUUGACAUACACGAGAACGCUGCAGAAAUGUAGAACUCUUUGGACACUCGUGAACAGGUGGUGCAUGGUUGUCGUCAGCUCGUGUCGUGAGAUGUUGGGUUAAGUCCCGCAACGAGCGCAACCCUCGUUCUAUGUUGCCAGCACGUAAUGGUGGGAACUCAUGGGAUACUGCCGGGGUCAACUCGGAGGAAGGUGGGGAUGACGUCAAAUCAUCAUGCCCCUUAUGUCUUGGGCUUCACGCAUGCUACAAUGGCCGGUACAAAGGGCUGCAAUACCGCGAGGUGGAGCGAAUCCCAAAAAGCCGGUCCCAGUUCGGAUUGAGGUCUGCAACU